RNAcentral lists this ribosomal RNA (460 nucleotides) under uncultured bacterium. Its description in RNAcentral is "partial 16S ribosomal RNA". It matches the Rfam family "Bacterial small subunit ribosomal RNA", at positions 338 to 795 of the family's 1533-position model. The record is from RNAcentral.
CCUACGGGAGGCAGCAGUGAGGAAUAUUGGUCAAUGGACGAGAGUCUGAACCAGCCAAGUAGCGUAAAGGAUGACUGCCCUAUGGGUUGUAAACUUCUUUUAUAAAGGAAUAAAACGAGGCACGUGUGCCUUUUUGCAUGUACUUUAUGAAUAAGGAUCGGCUAACUCCGUGCCAGCAGCCGCGGUAAUACGGAGGAUCCGAGCGUUAUCCGGAUUGAUUGGGUUUAAAGGGAGCGUAGAUGGUUUGUUAAGUCAGUUGUGAAAGUUUGCGGCUCAACCGUAAAAUUGCAAUUGAUACUGGCAGUCUUGAGUACAGUUGAGGUAGGCGGAAUUCGUGGUGUAGCGGUGAAAUGCUUAGAUAUCACGAAGAACCCCGAUUGCGAAGGCAGCUUACUAAACUGUGACUGACAUUGAUGCUCGAAAGUGUGGGUAUCAAACAGGAUUAGAUACCCCGGUAGUC